Molecule: non-coding RNA, 103 nt
Organism: Mus musculus (house mouse)
Lineage: Eukaryota; Metazoa; Chordata; Mammalia; Rodentia; Muridae
Source: Rfam
ACUGGCUUCAACAGCUAUAGACUAAAACAGGAACAAUUCAGAGAAGAUUGGCAUAUCCCUGCUCAAGGAUGAUAUGUAAAGGUGUGAAGCAUUUUUUAUCUUU